AUGAGCGGCCGCGCGGCAGCCGGGCCCGCGCUGUCCCCGCGCCCACCCGCCCGGCGGCGCCCAUUGUGCCGGGCCCGCGCCGCCGGGCCGCCCCGGGGCCGCCCCGAGCCCGCCCGCAGCCCUCAGCGCGCCCGACGGCCCGGCUCUGCAAGUUGGGGCCCGCGCCUCCCGCCUGCCCGGGAAGCACGUGAACUUGGAGAAAGUCGCGGAGUGCGCCGGCCCGGACCUCCGCGGCAGGGCGUGGACGCCCCCGGCCCGGCGCGCUUUCGUUUUCGUCCCGGACAAAGGUCCCUCGAGGCGCUAGUCGCGGACGCGGAGAGCGGGUUCGGCCGGCCGCUCCUCGGAGAGGUCCGGUGGUUCCAUACGGGCGAGCUGGAGUCAGGAGAGGAGGAGCGGCGCGGUGCGGGACCUGGAGAGUGGGGCCUGGCGGUGCGCUUCGCCCGGCUGUCUCUCCGUCCCGGGGCCGUCCGGCCCGGCGAAGAGUUGCGGGAGAUGGCACCGCGCUGCACUCUGCGGUUUACACGCGUGAAGGAGGGAAGCGUUCGGGACCCAGGACUCAGACCCAUGGCCCAGGGCCUGUGGCGUGUGGGCACGAUAGCGCAGCGCUGCCUGCGUCCAGGCGCGUUCCUCCGCCAAGGGCAGGGCAGUCGACCUGCGUGUCCCGGGUCACGAUCGGGUUCCGGGAGACUCCUGAGGAUGAACAUGACUCAUCCCAGAGCACCCCCAAGGAAGCGGGACCUACCGUGGCCUUCGGGAGACAUUCCAGGACUGCAGAGCCCAGGACUCACGCCUUCUUCCUGCCUCCUCGUUCUGCAGGGGACCCCUGCAACUCUGCCUCCCUCAGGGAGUCUGGAUGGAAGAGGAGUGCUCAGCCCAGUCCCGCUCAGCACCUCGAGGACUCGCCUGUCCCUGGGGCUCUUCGCCUGGUGCACCUGCUGCCCUUGGGCUCGCCUUGCCUCGAGGGCCCUUUGGGGCCAGCAAUCCUGGAGCUAGCCCCUUCUCUCUGCCCAGCCGGGAACCAGCCCUCAAGCUCAGCCCUAACGCACCCAGGCCACCUGUCAUCACCCCGAGAUGCCACAAGGUGCUUUGACCUCUCUGGGCUUCAUUUUCCUCAUCUGUGAAAUGGGGACAAAUGAGGAUUGAAGACGAUACUGUGUGAAGCGUCCAGAGCAGGGGACGGCUCACAGUUGACCCUUCCGUGCCCCUACACUGCACGGAGAGCCGGGGGACCGCUGGGGCAGUUUCUGCCGCCCGCCUCCCUUCCCCGCCCUCCCGCCCCCUGCGUCUGGACUGUGUCCGCAGCUCCAUCCCUGUGGCCGGCAGUGGGCACCAGCGGGCGCGGCCGUGGACCCAGAGGACGAGGCUGGGGCGGCAGGGCAGGCCCCCAGGGAGACCCCUGGGAAACCUCAGCAUGCCCCCCCGGCAUCCUCACCGGCCUGCCCAGCUCAGCGUCAGGCCUCUGGUCAGUGAUGGCCCCUCCACUGGAGAGGGGGGCUGAGGCUGCCCCAUCCCUCGCCGCUCACCAUUCCAGGCGGGAAGUGAGAGGGGGUUCUCUGAGCACUCUGUGGCCCCUCGGGGACACGAGCCCCCUCCACUCCCCCCCCGCCACCACGACGUGCAGGUGGACGGGGUGGGCUGCACCGUCUGUGCUGUCUGCAUUGUCCCUCCUGCCCCGCGCCUGCCCGGCCUUCCAGCUCGGCUCUGGUGGCCACCGACCUCCGGGCAGGGGCCGGGCCUGGGCGUGGGGCAGUGGCGGGACAGCGGACCCUCCCGCACCCCCGGGCACCGGCGGGGUGAGGUAGUAGGUUGUGUGGUUUCAGGGCAGUGAUGUUGCCCCCUCGGAAGAUAACUAUACAACCUACUGCCUUCCCUGAGGAGCCCAGCGACACAUCCCCACGGGAGGGCCCGCCCCCACGCCCAGCAGGCGACUCCGGGGGCCCCGAGCCACGGGCCGGAGGGGUGGGAGGCUGCAGCAUGCACACCUCGACUUCAAUAAAAGCUG
Zalophus californianus (California sea lion) is the source of this 2002-nucleotide RNA transcript. It is a transcript of the gene named translation initiation factor IF-2-like, with no coding region annotated. NCBI's taxonomy places the organism in Eukaryota, Metazoa, Chordata, Mammalia, Carnivora, Otariidae. The transcript has 5 exons. The record is from RefSeq and is a predicted model, not a curated record.